Molecule: small RNA, 386 nt
Filed under: Pongo abelii (Sumatran orangutan)
Lineage: Eukaryota; Metazoa; Chordata; Mammalia; Primates; Hominidae
Description: processed transcript
Source: RNAcentral
CACUCGGGGAUAAAUAGUUCCAAUGCAGAAGUGCUGGCUCUGUUCAAUGUGACCGAGGCGGAUGCUGGGGAAUAUAUAUGUAAGGUCUCCAAUUAUAUAGGGCAGGCCAACCAGUCUGCCUGGCUCACUGUCCUGCCAAAACAGCAAGGCCGCCGGUGUUAACACCACGGACAAAGAGAUUGAGGUUCUCUAUAUUCGGAAUGUAACUUUUGAGGACGCUGGGGAAUAUACGUGCUUGGCGGGUAAUUCUAUUGGGAUAUCCUUUCACUCUGCAUGGUUGACAGUUCUGCCAGCUCCUGGAAGAGAAAAGGAGAUCACAGCUUCCCCAGACUACCUGGAGAUAGCCAUUUACUGCAUAGGGGUCUUCUUAAUCGCCUGUAUGGUGG